AGUGAACGCUGGCGGUAGGCCUAACACAUGCAAGUCGAACGGCAGCACAGUAAGAGCUUGCUAUUACGGGUGGCGAGUGGCGGACGGGUGAGGAAUACAUCGGACUCUACUUUUUCGUGGGUUAUAACGUAGGGAAACUUACGCUAAUACCGCAUACGACCUACUGGUGAAAGCAGGGGAUCUUCGGACCUUGCGCGAUUGAAUGAGCCGAUGUCGGAUUAGCUAGUUGGCGGGGUAAAGGCCCACCAAGGCGACGAUCCGUAGCUGGUCUGAGAGGAUGAUCAGCGACACUGGAACUGAGACACGGUCCAGACUCCUACGGGAGGCAGAAGUGGGGAAGAUUGGAAAAUGGGCGGAAGCCUGAACCAGCCAUACAGCGUGGGUGAAGAAGGGCUUCGGGUUGUAAAGCCCUUUUGUGGGGAAAGAAAAGCAGCAGGUUAAUACCCCGCUGUUCUGACGGUACCCAAAGAAUAAGCACCGGCUAACUUCGUG
RNAcentral lists this ribosomal RNA (492 nucleotides) under uncultured bacterium. RNAcentral describes it as "partial 16S ribosomal RNA". It matches the Rfam family "Bacterial small subunit ribosomal RNA", at positions 29 to 507 of the family's 1533-position model. The record is from RNAcentral.